RNAcentral lists this ribosomal RNA (775 nucleotides) under uncultured Neocallimastigales. RNAcentral's name for it is "partial large subunit ribosomal RNA". It matches the Rfam family "Eukaryotic large subunit ribosomal RNA", at positions 23 to 645 of the family's 3401-position model. The record is from RNAcentral. Lineage: Eukaryota; Fungi; Neocallimastigomycota; Neocallimastigomycetes; Neocallimastigales.
AGAGAGAGACAUGCGCGCAUAUCAAUAAGCGGAGGAAAAGAAACUAACAAGGAUUCCCUUAGUAACGGCGAGUGAAGCGGGAAGAGCUCAAAUUUGAAAUCUUCAAGGUUUUACCUUGACGAAUUGUAGUUUAAAGGAAGUGUUUUCUGCUGAAGUUUUGGUAAAAGUUCUUUGGAAUAGGACAUCAUAGAGGGUGAGAAUCCCGUAUUUGACCAUUAUUUUCAGCUUUGUGAUACACUUUCAAAGAGUCGGAUUGUUUGGGAAUGCAGUCCAAAAUGGGUGGUAAAUUUCAUCUAAAGCUAAAUAUUGGCGAGAGACCGAUAGCGAACAAGUACCGUGAGGGAAAGAUGAAAAGAACUUUGAAAAGAGAGUUAAACAGUACGUGAAAUUGUCAAAAGGGAAGCGUUUGACACCAGUGUUGUUUUCUCGAAAAUCAAUUAAAAAUGGCUCGAUUUUGUAUUGUUGAGACCUUAAAAGCUCACUGUACAUUUUUCGUGUCUUUUUUAAUGCACGUUUCGUUUAACAAGUCAACAUCAGUUUCUUUUGUUGUAAAAGGGUCAUUGGAAGGUGGCUUUCUUUUCGGAGAAAGUGUUUAUAGCCUUUGGCCUCUGCAAUCGAAGAGACUGAGGUCUGCAGCGUAGACUCUUCGGGGUUAGAUACAUUUGCGCUAAGUUAUAGCUUUUUAUAGACAACUUGUUGACUAUAAUUAGUCUUGUAGCUUACUCGCUUAUGCUAUUUUACCUACGCUUAGGAUGUUGAAGUCAUCGUAUCGCGC